This 40081-nucleotide long non-coding RNA is filed under the name Ananas comosus (pineapple). RNAcentral's name for it is "long non-coding RNA (ACOM_LNC004009)". The stretch from base 36392 to 36473 matches the Rfam family "tRNA". Lineage: Eukaryota; Viridiplantae; Streptophyta; Magnoliopsida; Poales; Bromeliaceae. The record is from RNAcentral.
AAACAGAAAAUUAAAAAAAAAGAAAAAAAAUGGAAACUAUACUGAGUAGGUAAGUUUUUAGUAAGUAAAAUAGAAGGAAGCGGUUUUGUUUGGUUUUAUUAUUUUUGUGUUUAACUCAAUUAUGAAAUCGUUAUUUAAUUUUUUUAUUACUUAGGCUUCAUUUGGGAUUGUAGGAAGAUUUGCGUUACGUGCGGUGGGAAAAGACAAUAGAAAAAUAUUAUGUUUAUUUUUGUACAUAAUAGUGCAUUCCACAUAUUGCAAUUAAUUGGUUGCGAUAUAUUUUCUACCGUUUCAUUGGAGAACGCAGAAACAUAUCUCUAUAUAUUUUUUCUUCAACUCUUUUUUACUUAAUAGCGUUAGAUAGACCUCAAUACCAAACUAAGACUUAGAAAUAUAAAAAUUAUUUUUUCUGACAGAAACAUAUCGUCAAAAUUAUAACAAUUUUACUACAUAGCAGGUAAAAAGAAAAUAAUAAUAAUAAUAAUUUAAGAAGAGAAAGCUAAAAAAAAAAAUUCAAUAAAGAAAUUCGUACCUUGGGAUGAAAAUGUUAACAAUCAAUAGUAAAAUAUUUUGUAAACUUUCCGGUAAUUAAUAUACUUUUUCUAGAAAUAUUAAAAUUUAUUUUAAUAAAUAAUAAAAUUAUUCUCAUUUAAUAAAUAAUAAAAUGGGCCCACAUUUUUUUAUUGAGUCCAUUUUCAAAGAUGAGUAUAAAAAAAACAUUCCCAUCUAAUAAAUUUAAUUAAUAAAAUAAAAUGAUGGCCCCACAUUCAAAAGGUUCUCAAUUAAUAAGUUUAUAAAUAAAUGCAAGCGCAAUAAAGGAUAGGGCUAAAUGUCGAAAUCUUGUUUUCUUCUUAUUGGAUUUGAAUCAAUAAAUUUGUCGGGUCGUGUUUGGGUUAAAUCCGACGAGUCUUAGAUUCGGCCCGUUUACGCCGUAGAUUCAGCUCUUCGAUCCGUCCCAUAAUUUUUCCGGAUCAUAGUCUCCUCAUUUGUAAUUAAUUAUUAGAUUUUAUAUAUUAACUUUUAAUUGCUUAUGAUUUGUGUUAUUUUAUUUAAUUAAAUUAUAGAAGUAAUUGCCUAUAUACCCUUCAAAACUUCAGAAAUAUUUUAUUUACCCCUUUUUUUUUUUCUUUCUAAUAUACUCCUUAUAUGUUCCUCCGUUAUUUCAAAAUAUUCCUAUAGUUACGAUUUGUUAAGUUAACUUGGGUUAAACGUGAGUUAAAUAUCUAUCAUAGUUAAACAAAAAUUAAAUUUUCACUUUUGCCCGUAACUUAAAGGCAGAUAAGAAAUAUUGGUAAUGGUAGAAAAAUAUAUUUAAAAGACCAAAAAGUAAAAUAUUUUUUGUGCUCCUAACUUAAGAGCAAAUAAGAAAAGUCGGUGAUAGUAGAAGGGUAUAUUUGAAAGGGUAAAAUAUUAAUUUCAUAGAGAUAACAGAGUUUAUUAAUAGAUUUUAACUCUAGGGGUAUAUUUGAAAUAGGUUGGAACGUAAAAAAAAUAUUUUUAAUAUUAGCCUUCUAAGAGAGGUAAAUCAGAAUGUCGGGAACUUUUCACGGGUAUAUAAGCAAUUGCCCCUAAAUUAUAUUUACUUGUUAAAUUUAAUAGAAGUAUAUAUCCCUGAAAAAUUUUCAACUUUCUAAUUUACCCCUCUUGAAAAGUUAAUAUUAAAAUACCUUUUUACGCUCCAACCUGUUAGCAAUUAUCUCUAUGAAAUUACUAUUUUAUCCUUUCAAAUAUACCAUUCUAUCAUCACUGACUUUUCUUAUUUGUCCUUAAAUCAGCGACACAAAAAGUAUUUUAAUUUUUUAUCUUUUCAAAUAUACCCUUCUACCAUCACUAAUAUUUCUUAUUUGCAUUUAAUUUAGAGGCAAAAGAGAUAUUUUAUUUUUUUUAACUCUGGUAAAUAUUUAACACACGUUUAACUCAAAUUAACUUAGCAAGAGAUAACUGUAUGGAUAUUUUGGAAUAACAGAGAAACAUAUAAAAUGGUAUAUUAGAAAAAAAAAAUGUAAGGAUAAAUGAGAUAUUUUUAAAGUUUUGAGAGGUAUAUAGGUAAUUAUCCCUUUAAUUUUUAAAAUUAAGUAAUUUUAGCCAGAGAAGUUAGAAAUUUUACCAAACUAAUUGAUUAUUCUAUCAGGUUUUAAAAUUUUAACUACUUUAAAGCGAAUAAAGCUGGAUUAAUUACUCUUAAAAUAGCUUCUUGAGACACGAAUUAUACACAAUUUAAAAAUUUACCUUUGUUAACUAUAAAAUCUCAAAUAAAAGAAAAAAAAAUCAAACUUUAAAGAAGCGCAAAUUCAAAGAUUAAAUUUGAGGUACCAUUUUCAAAAUAUCCUAUAAUUGAGGGGUUCCUCAUAUAUAUUUUACCUAAUUAGUAACUAAUCCGACUCUAAAAACAGUUUCAAUGUAGAGAUUUUACCGGCGAACCAUCCAUUCCUAAUUCCCCAAAAUAAUAAUAAUAAAUAAUAAAUAAUAAAUAAUAAAUCAUAAAUCAUAAAAAUAAAUAAAUAAAUAAAUAACGAAACAAAUCUCUGAGACAAAUAUACCCCAUUCUCUCUCUCUCUCUCUCUCUCUCUCUCUCUCUCACUCUCUUCGUUCCCUUCUCCGAUCCAUUUCAAAACCUCGAUUUGAUCGGAGUACGAGGGAUUAAUUAAUGCGAUAAGGUGACAAACCCUAAACAUUCGCAUUGUAAUCGUCUCCCUUUGUCGAUAUAUCUGUCUUUUUUUCGUUUUUUCUGGGGGAUUAAUUUGAUAUGUUUUGGUUCUUCGAGUGCGUAAUGAUGGAAAAGUUCACUUGAUUUUAGGGCACAAUGGGUCCACGACAAACCCUAAUCGAUUCCAUUGUUUAGGAUCGAAUGUAGGUUGAUUUGCACUAUAUGAUCUCUGCUUCUUUCUUCUUCUUCUUCUUUUUUUUUUUUUUUUUUUUUUUUUUUUUGUNNNNNNNUUUUUUUCUUUUCUUUUUUUUUUUUUUUUUCUUUUUUUGUGUGGUAAUUUAGUCGAUCUAAUCAUUUCCUUGUGGUUGUUCUCUUUUGUGGAGGUUGUAGUGUCAACAAUGUGUUUUAAGCUUGUUUUUCUUGUUUUGUUAGAUCUUUCUGGAACGGAUCGAUCCAUACGCUUUGUUGUUCUUCGCGAAAAAAAAUUGCUUAUUUGUUAGGCUUUAUUGAUCUUCUGUAAAAAUAGCUUAUUUGUGUUAAGAAGAUCAUUCUGUAGGAAAGUAUUGUUCGCAAUCGGAUUUUUUCGUUGCGGCUAAAGUGUUUGAGUGAGAAGUUUUGGUAAGUCAAAAAAUUGGGUAGUAUAGUUAGUAAGUUUUACCCUUUUUGUGUCAUUUAACUGCAAAUAGUGUGAGGGGGAUUAUUUGAUCUUAAAUAGUGUAGAAUAGUAUAAUAACAACAACUUAGCAAAAGAGGGAUCGGAAGAAAUGACAAACUUUAAGGAGUAGAAUAGUUGUAGAAAUGCAGAUGUUGUCUUAGGAUUUUGAACUAUCAUUGGGUUUGCUUGGAAUCAUUGUUUGUAUCUUUCCGUUUCAUUCUUCUAAGAUUGCUACAUUGUUCCUUCUUCUUUUUUUUCAUGUAUUUGGGGUUUAUUAUUGUUUCAAACAAAUGAUGGCAUCAUGAUUGUAAGUUUAUUUUGCUUAAAAUCAGUGGUGAGAUUGCAAAUGACCACUGAUCUCAAAUGAAAAAGUAGCAAAAGAUAAUUUUAACUCAGUUGCUUUUAAAAACCAGUGAAAUGAUGGAUGAUGCCAAAAAAAGCCUUAUAUAUGUGUGAUCUUUUACUUAGAGAUGUCAGUCAGGCUACAACAUCCCUAAGUUCGCUUAUAUGGUAAAAAUCUUUAAUGCCCAUUAGAAUGUGCACGCUCCUUGUAUAUAGCAUAACUAGUCAAAAUGAGUUACAAUGUCUUAAUUGGAAAUCAUUUAAGAGGAAACAGAUGGGAGGGGAAUGUUAAUUUUUGGUGAUGGCAGUCUCAAUGGCCCUGUUUGGAUGCAUGAACUUCUUAUUCGGUGCGUCCUUUUGAUUUACUCAAGAAACAUAUAAUAGUUGGGAGAUGAGGAGUGUGAUGGCAUGUCCAAAAUGGAUACCAUAUUUGGCCUUCAUGUUAUUUUUCCGUAAUAACAUGAAAUAAUUAUCUCAUAGGUGAAUUAUAAUAUCCUACCAAAUCAUGGAUAUCCAGACCUCUUAGAGAGCAGAAAUCAAGCUCCUAGCUUUCAGUCACACAAGAAAAUCUUCGUACUGGAUAAGGUGUCAUAGUAAGACAUCCAAACAAGGCCUAAAGUACAACUGGGAUUUAGAUGGAUUUCGAGCCCUGGACUUUUGGUUUUCAUGAAAUGAGAACUUCGAAUGUUAGCAGAUAGCUAUAAACAGGAAAGGGAGUUUGUGAAUAUCUCAUCUGAUGAGACAACAGCCUUAUGGAAGGUCAAGAUACAUUAUUUUCCAAUAUGAUCCACCUAGUCUUUUUGAGUCCUUGUGUUGCCACUGUAUUGUUUGUGCGCAAUCUUGAAAAUGGCAUUGCAUCAAAGCCUGAUGUUGACUGGAUAUCAAAUCUAGCAUUCUAGUGAAUCUUCAUGGUAGACACAGCUAGGAAGGAAAUAUAAAAGCCCAAGUCAACUAGUUGGUGCAAUUCAUAGUUUACUCAGGUAGGAAAAAGAAAUUUGGAAACUUAAAACUGGAUUAGGAAAUACAGGAGCCAUAACUUCAUUAGGAAUGUAUGUGAUACCAUUAUUGUUACUCACACUAAUAAUAAUACUUUUUUUGUGCAUUAAACAGUUGCUAUGUAUGUUGCCUACUUAACCAAUGGCCAUUGAAUUAUCUAUUUUUGGUUCCCAGGUACAUUUCGACCGACAAAAGGCGCCGGUGAGAGUUUGCAGUUAUCAAGAGAGGGAUGAAAUUGGGGAACUUAAAUGGGUUAAGAAGCAAACAACUUAAACUCGCUGUCAUUGCAUUUUGCACAACACUUCUAGUUUUGGCAUGGGAGAAAGCACCAUAUCAAUCGUCUCUUAUCCUGCCCCCAGAUCAAUUAAUUCUAUUUCCUCCAGGUUCAUUCAUUGUGCCUAUAGACACACCCUUUUAUGUUGGUUUCGUUUUGGUCCCUUCGCUUAUAAAUAACAUUCUUCCUUCUGUUUUUUGUUUUUGUCCUGCAAUUCUCAUCCGCUCCAGUUGCUAAAACAAGGUAUCUACAUGACCACCCCUCUGCAGAGGAAGAUUUCCCAAAUGGAGAGACAUUACCACGAACAGCUACUGAAAAAGUAGAGCAAGUUCCACAUGCACCAUCCUUAGAUUCCACGAUUAUAAGCUCUGAGACAACUAAAGGGGACGACAAAGUUACAGGCGAGAAGAAAGGUGAAGUCUCUGUUUUAUAGUAAACUCUUACAUUUGCUACUCCUUUUCUUUCAAAGAUUCCACUUGAUUUGCAUUCUAUUUCUUCGUUUUGAAUUUGCCUUUUCUUCGUUUUGAAUUUGCCUAUCCAAAAUUUAUCAUUUCACCUCAUUUGAGCUCCAAUUUGAAUUGUUCUUGUAACAUGAACCUGAAUACUUCAACGCAAGGAUUUAAGUGCCGUGGCACGGGGUCGUGCCGGAAACUUGCUGGCACGGUGCGUACCGAGCCGUGCCGAUGCGUGCCGGUCAAAAAAAUUCUUAUGUGCCGACACAUAAUAGUAUAAAAUAUUUAUUUUCUUUAACAACAAAAUAUUCUAACUAUUUAUUAUGUCUUUUUAUCACAUCUUUUGAACUUUGUUGAGGAAAUUACUUACUAAUUUAAAAAAUAGAGGGUUUUGAGUUGUGCCAUCGGCACGGGGUCUGUAUCAUACCAGUAUCUUGUUGGCACGGUACGACAUGGUGGAUACGACCGUACCGACGGGCACUUAAAACCUUGCUUCAACGCAUGAUAUAAUUUCUUGGAAUUUUAAAUUAUAAAGAGGUUUUAAAUUGCUAUUUGUAGGAUGUAACUUUGCCAAGGGAAAAUGGGUUCCUGAUGACAGAAGACCUUUAUAUUCCGGUUAUGGGUGUAAAAAGUGGCUCUCUGAGAUGUGGGCCUGUCGGUUGACUCAACGCACGGAUUUCUCCUACGAGAAAUUUAAGUGGCAGCCUGAAGGCUGCGACAUGCCUGAGUUUGAAGGACCUACAUUCUUGAAAAGGUAUGAUUUGUUUGAUUCGGUAUCACAUGACCUAACUAGAAGUAAAUAGUCAUUCAACCCCAACUGAUUUUGGUAAAAACCAGGAUGCAGGACAAAACUAUUGCCUUUGUAGGUGAUUCCUUAGGAAGGCAAAUGUUCCAAUCUAUGAUGUGUAUGGUGACUGAAGGGAAAGAGAGACCGGAUGUGGAGGACGUAGGUGUAAUGUACGGUUUUGUGCAAGAAGCUGGUGCAAUUCGACCUAAUGGUUGGGCUUAUCGAUUUCCAAUCACAAAUACCACCAUUCUAUUCCACUGGACAUCCACCCUAUGCGACUUAGAGCCUCUUAACACAUCAAACCCUACUACCAGUUAUGCCAUGCACCUCGAUCGGCCCCCAUCCUUUCUUACACAAAAUCUCGAUAAAUUGGAUGUGGUAAUUCUUAACACAGGCCACCACUGGAAUAGAGGGAAGCUCAAAGCGAACAGAUGGGAGAUGUAUGUUAAUGGAUUCCCAAACACCAAUAAGGAGAUUGCUCCUAUGUGGAAAGCCAAGAAUUUUACUAUGCACAGUGUUGUUAAGUGGCUAGAUUCUCAGCUCCCUAAUCACCCUCGACUUAAAGUCUUUCUCAGGUCGAUAUCUCCUAGGCACUUCUUUAAUGGGGAGUGGAAUUCCGGGGGAAGAUGCGACAACGCAAACCCGUUGGCGGGUGGGGAUGAAGUUUCGCAUGAUGGUUCUGAGGAUGCCGAUGCUGAGCUCGCAGUGAGGGGCACAAGGGUUAAGCUUUUGGAUAUAACUGCUUUAUCGAAUUUGAGGGACGAGGGGCAUAUAUCGAAGUACAGCAUUACUGCCGCGGAGGGAGUACAGGAUUGCUUGCAUUGGUGCCUACCAGGUAUUCCUGAUGCAUGGAAUGAGAUCCUCGCUGCGCAGUUGUAGGUAUGCACGAUAUUAGGCUAUUAGUUGGAGGAUUAUUUUCACCACUGGUGAAGAACUAUCACCUGGACUUUGUGUACCACAUCAGCUGUGGAGCGAACCAAUCGAAAGGCAACGCAUACCCCCCUCCUUUUGUGCACCUGCGACUUCUCGUCAUCUUUUUCAUUUGUCAGAGCUGUUUGUUAGGCGAGGCAAGGUUAACAAAAAACCAAGGCUCCUCCUUAUUCAGGGAUACGUGUUGUUCUUUUAGCUGGUUCAUCUUGCGGUUGACGUGGUGCCCCAAUUUCAAAGAAUAAUAUCUCCUCCAUGUGGUUCUCAUUGGCUAUAUUACACUUACGGUUCGGUAACGAACCGUGUAAGUGCGAUAACCGGUCUUUUCUGGCUGUGCUUUUCUGUGGCGCACAUGAUUUUGUCAAUUCCUCGCUGCUCUAAGUACUGGCCAAAGAGCACACUAAUAUCCUGGUGUGUUUUUGAUGGUCAGAACAGAAUAUUUGAACUGUUUAUGAUGGGCCUAUAGAAGCAGUAUUUAGUUCUAGUUUAUUUGUUUGCUGAGCACAGUAUUUUCAUCUUCUCUUGUCAUCAGAUUACUACCAUGUAUAGUUAUGAUAAUAUAUGAUUUUAUUCCUUUUGUCUUAAAAUGCUGAUCAAUGCUAUUGUUGUGAUCAACUUUUGUUUGCUUCUUUUUGCAACAAAAAGAGAAUUCUUCGGGGCUGUGUUUUCGGAUGCGAUUUUCACCCAGAAACAAAUUAAUCAACUUUAUCAACUGAUUUGAUUUUCAAAAAAAAAAAAUCAACAAAUCAUUACUUUAACUUUCAUUAAAAACCUAAAUCCAAUUCCAGUUUUUUUUUUUUUUUUUAAAAAAAAAAAAUCUAAUCUAAUCUAAUAUGCAUGAGAGACCCUUCGAUUUUUCCAUUACUUCGUUCCGUGCUAUGUGGAAAUUGGCCAAGAAUAUAACUCAGGCCCUUUUUUAUUUUGUAAAUUAUAUUUUUUUUUGUCUUAACAGUGCAAAAUGGCCAAUACUUUUUUUUGGCUUAAUUGCACCAUUGAUAUUCAAAUUCUUCAAUUUUUUUUUUUAACUUCACUUCCCUCUUCUUCGCAAUCACGUCCCCAACUACCGAACUUAAAUUGGUGGUUUUGUUAUGGACCAAGGUGAAAUUAAAAUUAAAUUAAAAUUUCUUACUAAAAGUAUAAAAUUAAAAAUUUUGACUUUGAAUUUAAAUCUAUAAUUUUGAUUUAAAACUAAAAUAGAAAUUUGAAUUGAAAUUUAAAUUUUGAAUUUGACUUUGAAAUUGAAUUUAGUUUUGUGUUUCAAAGUUUGAAAACUUAAUUUUGAUGUUCGGAGUCAAAAUUGACCUUAAAUUUGAAUUCAAAUCAUAAUUUGAAAAAAAUUUGAAUUCAAAAUCAGAAUUUGAAAGAAAUUUUGAAUUCAAAAUGUGAAUGUGAAUUUGAAUUGAUAUUUUAAUUCAAAAUCUGAAUUUAAAGUUGAAUUCAAGAUCUAAAUUUAAAUUUCAAAUUUGAAUUCAAAAUUUUGAAUUUGAAUUUAAAAAUCUGAUUUCAAAUCUAAACUUUGAUUUGAAAUUUAAAUUCAAAUUCACACUUUGGAUUAAAAUUCAAAAUCUGAGUUUUAAAUUAAGUUUGAAUUUGAAUUUAAAAUUAAGCACAAAAUCUAAUUUGAAACUGAAUUUGAAAUAUGAAUCCAAAAUCAAAAUAAAAGUUUACAUAUUUAAACCCAAAAUAAAAUUAAAAUUUGAAAUCCACGUUCUUGUGCUUGUGCUGAUUUCAUCUUGAUUCAAAAUCCGGCCAUGAACAAAUUUGGAUGAUAGCAAAUUGCAAGGCACGUAGACUUGAACUCUGAUUUGGACCCCAUUAUCUCGAAACACAAACCGAAAGAACUUAAGAUUUUAUAAAUCUAAUUGAUAAAAUUACAGAUAAAUUAGAAAUUAUUAAAACAAAUAUCUUAUAGAAAUAGAAAUUAUAUUACUUGAGAAUAAUAUUUUGUAACGGUUUUUCUGAACAUCCGGUUAAUUAAAGUUUUCUAAUAGUAGGAACAUAUUUAAAAACAUUAUCAUUUUACAGAAAUAAUAUAUAAAAGUUGAAUUUUGUAAUAAUAAAUUUGUAAUUUAUUAUAUUUGUAGGAAUAUGUAUGAAAUUAACCUAUAUAUAAAUCAUAGGGAGCAUGAAUCCUAAUCUAACUGGACUAGAAAUCCUAGCCUUUGUUGAGUCCUAUUCCAAUUGGAUUAGGAGUCUAAAGCUAACGCCUAUGUGCGUGUGUAUAUAUANGCUUGGAUUUUGUUUAUUUUUUACUCCACCUUCCUCACCGACAGUAAUAAAAAAUUUCGCUCCAUCUUCGUCCAUAGAUAUUGGUAAGUGCUCGAACCGUUUAAAUACUUAUGUGUUAUAUAUAUAUAUAUAUAGAGAGCGAGAGAGAGAGUGGGGUUACUAUACUUUUGUAAGUAUGAAGCCUUCCGUACUUUCAGAUCGUUUUUUCACUUCGAUGGUAGAUAAAAUUGGACUAGAUGUUCCGACUUUUGAAUCGUCGAUCGGCUUCAUUAAAUUUGAUCUAGAGUAUUUAAAGUAUCUAGAAAAUAAAUUAUGCGAUUUUUUGAUAUUAUUUGCUUAGUGAAUGAAGGGGCUCAAAACCAACGGUUGAAAAUAAAAAUCUUACAAAACGUAAUAAUAUGACAUUACAAUUUUAGAUCAAAGAUAUUGAUAUUGUUUUAUAUAGCAUAAAAAAAAAAUUUAUCAAAAUUUCACGUGAUUUGGAUAUUUCUAUAUCGUUUAACUUGCGAACGGCUCAUGACGGUCAUUAAAAUUAUUGAUUUUGAGCUCCUUCGAUCACUAAGCAAAUGAUAUUGAAAAAUUAUAAAAUUUAUUUUCUAGGUAUUUCAAAUAUUCUAGAUCAAGUUUAACGGAACCGAUCGGCGAUUUGAAAGUCGCAAUAUGGAAAACGACCUGAUGGGCUUUAUUAUGAUUUCAAAAAUUUACGAAAUUUACGAAAUUUAUCUUGAUUUUUGUGCUUUGACGAAUUGAUCUUGUUCGCUUUUAUCAUAACAGGCAAUUUAUAACUAGAUAAGCUUUUCUUUUUUUUCUUUUUUUUUCUUUUUUUUUUUGAGUCAGGCCCUAAUUAGUUAAUGUGCAUAUAUAUAUCUGAUUAUGCAAUGCUUAAUUAAUUACUAAAGUUUAUUAUCGCAGAGGCGAAUAUAAGCAAUACAAUGUUAAACGGUUCAGUAUAAAAAAUCACGUACGUUCUUAAUCGGAUAAAAUUGGUCCGACAUAGUUAGACACACUGUACUUUUACCAACUUUCAUUUUCGUUCAUAAAUUUUUAAGUUGAUAAAUUAAUACAUCCAAACUUUUGAAAGUAUCACGUAAUAUUUGAAGUUGAUGAUAAUAAAUUAAGUGAGGCACAUACAAAAUAAUUUGAUUGUUGAUCAGUGACAAACAUAUAAUUCUGAGGACCAAAAUGAAAACUUAUUACAAGUUAGGGAUUACUGGCGCGAUUUUCCCUUAGGUAUCAUGCGAGUCCUUGUCCUUUUUUGUAAAUAGUAGUAGGUGAGUGGGUGGUGGUGCGAUUGUUCCUUAAUUGAUUGCUAUUCUUUAGGCUGAUUAAGUUGCUAGAUAAUCUAUAUCUAGGGGUGGAAACGAGCCGAGCUCGAGCGAGCUUAGCUCGGCUCAAAUUCGGCUUGAAAUUAAUUUCGAGCUUAAAUUUAAGCUCAAGCUUGGAUUGAAAUUAAUUCGAGCCAAGCUCGAGCGAGCCUAAUUUCGAGUCGAGCCCUAAACGAGCCGCUUGAAAUUCUCAACAUCAUACGAUCAAUAGUUUAAUUUGUAUAGAAUAUUAUCUAUAAUUUGAUACAAAAAUAUAUCUAAUAGUUCAAAGUACAAAAUAAUUAUAUAAAAUAUAGUAUUAUAAUAUGAAAAAAAAAAAUUUAUGAGUUAAUAAUCUAAUCUUUUCAGUCUCACAUGUCUUUUCUUCCGCCUUCAAUCUCCAUAUAUAUUUAUUUUCAUUUAUGCAGUCAAAAAAUAAAUAAAUAUAUAAGAUAAAUAUUGAUUAAAUUAUCCAAUCAUAUAUAACUAAAAUUAAAAUUUAUAUGAAAAAUAAUUUUUUACUUUAAAAAUAUUCUGUAUAUAUUCUCAAGCAUAUAAUUAAUAACAAAAUAGGUAAUGCAGGCAUAUCUGAUAUUUGUAACUUGGAGGGCUUCGGCUUGGCCACUAGGUGAGAACAGAAAAAGAGAAAGAGAUAAAUAUAUUGAAAAUUUAGACGAUAUAUAAAAGAAGAAAGAAAUGGAAAAAUAAUAUAAAUUUGUAAAAUUUUGCUCUUUUAUUUGUCUAUUUGGUUUGUUUUUAUGGGCCAACAAUAUUUGCCCAAUUUUAACUAAACUCAGAUUAUUCAUUCAACCUAUAUAUAAUUAAAAUAUAUUAUAUUUAUAUAUUUUUUAAUAUAUAUAUAUAUAUAUAAAAUAUAUAUAUAUAUAUAUAUAUAUAUAUAUAUAUAUAGUAUAUAUAUAGUUAAACAAAUGCUAUCGAAAAUAUAGAAAAUUUGAUGCUUUCGAAUUUUGACCAUUUUAUUAAGAAUUGUAAGUGGGAUGAUUGCGGUCCCCUAAGUUAAAUAAUAUUCCUAAGAUUGAGUGUCCCUACAAGUUAAUAAUAGUGUUAAUUCAAUAAUGAAUUAGUUGAUCUAAAAUCAAAAAAUCGAAAGCACCAAUCCUCUAUACUUUCGAUAGCAUAUAAUAAUAGUAUAUAUAUAUAUAUAUAAAUAUAUAUAUAUAUAUAUAUAUAUAUAUAUAUAUAUAUUCGAGCUUUUCGAGCCUAAUUCGAAUGAGCUGAGUAAUACUCAAGCUCGGCUUGAAAUGAAUUUCGAGCCUUUUUUUUUAUUCAAGCUCGGCUCAUUUAAUUUUGAGUCGAACUCGAGCGAGCCAAAUAUCGAGUCGGACGUGAGUCGAACGCGAGCCGGCUCGCUCAUUUGCCGGCCCUAUCUAUAUCCAUACCUCUAUACCAAUACAUUAUUUCUUUUAAACUUGCCACGUAGCAUCAUUUUCUUUCUUUGUUAAAUUAAAUGUGGGCCCCAUCAAUUUCUCUUUCUUUUUUUGAACCAAACCGGACUGUUGGGUGCCACCUUGAACCGGCUCAAGUUUUUUAAAUAAUUAUAUAAUUUUUUUCUGUUUGUGCUUGAACUGAACAGGAUCAACUUGCUUCAUUGGACCGAAUCAAUUAUUUUAUAAAUUCUAUCUUUGAACCAGAUAUAUUUUUUUAAUUAUCUGAACCGAACCAAUAAUACUGAACCGAAUCAACUUCAUUAGAUCGAACCAAAACAAUUACUAUACAUAUUUUUUAUCUUUGAACAAGAUUUUUCUUUUAAUUUAUCUGAACUGAGCAAAUAACUGUUGAAUAAGAGCUAGAGCUCCACCUGAACUAUCUCAAGUUCUCUUCUUUUGUUGCUUGAACCGAACCAGAUUUUUUUUCUUUACUUGAACCGAACCGGUGUUUCUUGCUUGAACCAAGCUCGGUCAAACCUAUGCCAUUUUUCUCCUCUUUGUUUUUGUACAAAUUCUUAUUAAGGAUGGGACUUUUUUUUUAAAAAAAGAAAAUUAACUUGAUUUUUGUAUUAAUUUAUUUUUAAUAUUGAUAUAAAAUAUGAUGAUAAAGUAUAUUUAGCAAAUAUGUAAUGUGUUCAUUUAUUUUUAAAAUAUUGACUCAUACAUAUAGAUUGCCUACACGUUUGAAUAAUUUAUAAUCAAUCAAAUAAAAAUUAUUUAAAAAUUUAUAAAAAGAUAUAUCAUUAAUAUGUUUAAUUUUUUUCUAAUUUUCUGCCCGUCGCAUCGCACGGAUUACUGCACUAGUUAAUUAAUAAACUGCAUAACUAAUUAAUUAAUUGAAUAGGAGAUCAUCUCUCUGUCUUCGACACGACUAAAAGUUUUUGUUCGGUCUUCGUACGUAGAUAUAGGUAAAUAUUUGAAACACGGAAAUAUUUAUGUAUUCUUUUUUUCUGUUUCUUUCUUCUUCUUUUUUUUUUAUAUAUAUUUUUUCGUAUCUGGUGAACCAAAUUUUUUUUUUUUUUUUCAUAACGUAAAAUUUGUCACUAGGUAAGCUUUUUUCUUUUUUCUUUUCAAAUUAGGCAUAAACUAAUAUGCAAAUCCGAAUAUAUAUUUAAUGCUCGCUAGAGUUAGACGUGAAUGUAAGCAAUGCAAUGUUAGAUGAUUGUGCAUAAGAAAUCACGUUUUAAAUUAGCAAAAAAUGAAAAACGUAGUGAUUUGUGUAGUUAAGCUAUAUUCCAGUCUCAUGUAUUAUAGAACCUAAGAAAAGUGUGUGAGCUAAACCAGUAUUGAUUAUCUUUUUAGUAUUUUACGAUUUGUUCAAUAAUCUUAAUACGUACAAAGUUCUCAUUAUGUUUUCUAAAAAAAUUUCAAUCAAAAUUAUUGGUGACUCAUUAAUUUUUGCAGAUAAAUAUUAUCAGAUGGAAGAGAUACAAAUUGCGCGAUCGAGCUCUACGGAAUCUCAAGCAGCACCAUGGUUGGUCUUUUUUUGUGGAAAGAGUGGUCGGAAAGCGCGAGUACUCUUCAGCAUACCUGAACAGAAAUUACACAUUAGAAGGAUAAGAAUAGAUGAAAUGGAGAGAUUUAGUUGUUGGGUAACUUCUCAAGGUUGGUUAUUUCUACUUGAUCCUCUUUCAUUAAGAACUGUUUUAUGGGACCCCAUAACCUUGAGGAAGGUUAAACUACCACCUAUGGAGCUCGACUUAGCAAAACAAUGCAAGUGCAUACUUUCAGCACAGCCUACUGAUCCAAACUGUUUUGGGGUAAUUAUAGAUCGUACAAAUAGCAUCUUCUGGUAUUGCCAUUCUAGAGAGAACAAGUGGGUCAAAUACAAGUGUCCCAUCUCAAAAAUAAACUUGGAAAGCAUAGUUCUUAUGAAGAGCAACAUUUAUCAUUAUGAUUUUUGCAAUGAAAAUCUGGUGAUAUUCGGAUUUGGUUCAUCCUUGGAUGUUACAACUUUGCCGGUAAAGAGAUGCAAGUUUCCAGCGGGCCUUUAUAUGCGACAACACUAUUUAUUGGAAUCUCGCGGGGAUUUGUUUCUGGUGUUUUUUUGGUUUCUGAGAUGUACUCUUAGAACAAUUGCCCAUAUCUGCGUCUGGAAGAUGGAUUUAUCAAAGCAAGCGUGGUUCCCGGUAGAAAGUCUUGACGACCGGGUGUUCUUUGUGAGCGGAAUGUCCGGAUUUGCCGCAUCGCGUUCUGCGAGAGAGCUUGGUGUUAAGAGCAACUGCAUCUAUUUUGUGAAUUCUGAUGACAAGUACUUACAUAUCUUUGACAUGGAAGAAGGGACCAUUGCUACCCACAACCCGUGCCCGAAUCCGAAUCUCAAUGUCUCUUGGUGCGAACCUUUCUUCAUGAUGCCUAUCAGUCGUUGAACGAAACUUCAUGUAUUAUUUAUUUAUUUAUUAUUUGUAGGCUGGAUUUCUAUUUAUAAGCACUCAUGGCCUUUUUGUUUCUGUGGCAAUUAAUCUUAACCAUUUUUUAGCCCAAUCUCGCACAUCAAAUUUUUUUACACGUUUUUAUUUAUUAGUUAUUUUAGAUCAAAUUAUUCAGAUGACUUGUAAAUUUUGUCUAAGUUUUAAAAUGUUUGAGACCUAGAAAUUUUGGUCAUCUCAUGAACAAAUUUUGUCUACCGCUGCCGGCUAACGUUUUCCUGCCUUGUGCAGGCUGACCAACUAAAGAAAACUCAAUUGAGGGCUUUUUUUUGCAAAUAGCCCCCUAACUAAUUUUUUUUUUUAAAUUGGUCCUAUCAAAAAUUUAUUUGCAAAAAUGGCCCUGGUCCCACCACGUCAGCGCCACGUCAGCGCCACACGGGCGGGGCUGGGCCAUGUGUUUAAGUUGAACACGGUGAACCAUUCACCGUAUUCAAUACAAGAUUUUUGUAUUAGACACGGCGAAUGGUUCACCGUGUCCAAUACAAAAUAGUUAACUGCGAGGUAUUUGUAUUGGACACGGUGAAUGAUUCACCGUAUCCAAUACAAAUAAUUGAACACGGUGAAUGAUUCACCGUGUCCAAUACAAACAUUCAAAACUUAGUCAUUUUUGGCUAAGUUGGAGGUAUUUGUAUUGGACACGGUAAAUCAUUCACCGUGUCCAAUACAAAAACCUUGUAUUGAACACGGUGAAUGGUUCACCGUGUUCAACUUAAACACAUGGCCCAGCCCCGCCCGCGUGGCGCUGACGUGGCGCUUGCGUGGCGGGGGCAGUGCCAUUUUUGCAAAUAAAAUUUUGACAGGGCCAAUUUUAAAAAAAAAAUUUAUCAGGGGACUAUUUGCAAAAAAAGCCCCUCAAUUGAUGACCUAUGUCUUCCUUCUCUAAACUGAUCGAAAUAUUUUUCUUUAAAGUGUUAUUAUUAAAUUUUAUAGUAUCCACCGUAACAAACGAUGUUUCUAAUUGGAUAUGGUACCAAUGUCAGCAAACUCGAUUGAUGACCUUUUGCCUCCUUGAUUGCUACCUGCCCGAAAGUAAUUUUAAGAAAAAACUUCAAAUAUUACGGCUGUGAUUUCACACUUUUUUGCUUUAAUACUCUGUGGUUUGAAGUAUAUCAAUUCAGUAUCCUGUGGUUUUAUUUUUAUCUUUUUAUUAUUGAUUUCACUAAUUUUUUUUAUUAGAUCAGUGUUAAAGUUAAAACUAACUGGUACUAAAGUGAAUAUUCGAUAAAUAUAGGUGGAUAUCUGAAAUUUUUAAUACAUAAUUUAACGAAACAUUAAUGAAAAAGCUGACAAAAAAAUAAAAAUAAAACUACAAAAUACUAAAAUUUGAUACACUUUAAACUAUAUGGUACCAAAGUGAGAAAGUACGAAACUACAUGGUGGUAUUUGAAGUUUACCCUAAUUUUAAUUAUGGAAAGCCCAAGGUCACCCGUUAAUCCUGGCACUGAUAGUUUUAGCAGAUGAAGGAUUAUAAGGGCAGCUCACUUCAGAACAUUGCUUUCCUUCAUAAUAAAAGCUAUCCGUUUUUUUUUUAUUUUUUGAGAAAUAUGUAACACGCCAUCCGCUUUAUUUAUUUUAUUCAAAAAUAAACUUAGCUGAAAAUAUAAUCAAUUAGAAUUCAAAUUUAGGAUCUAGGAUAUCAACCACAAAAUUCUUUGUCGCUUGCUCUAAGGACGGUUUGUAAGAGCUAUCCAUCGUAUAUUUUACUGCAUCAGAAAAAAAAAAAAGAAAAAAAAAAAGAGUUACGAAUACAAAAUAUGAAAACACAUAUGUUGAAUUGUAUUUGUCUAAUUGAUAACCCUAAUGGUGGAGCAAUCCUGUGUGGAGGCCGAAGCUUAUAUAUAAUCCAUUAGGUUGAGCAAUCUUAUAUAAUCCUAAUGCAUACUGUUGGCGGCCUAAAUUCCCGACCCUUGACACGGUCAAGUAUCCUCCUCGGAAAGAGUGUCAAGAUGAUGAGCGGCCGCGGAUAAUGACGCUCGAAGUUUGCGCCCACGACGGAUCAAGCGAUUCGGCCGAUGAGGGAUCGUAUCAGCCGGGUUCGAAAACCUCCGCAGUAAAUUUUGUGAAUACUCUUCUAAAUUUUAAAAUAUCAUAAAUACCUCUUCAAACACAUAAAAUUAUCAUAACUAUUCUUGCCGCUAAGGACACGUCACUUUACCCGGAUUAAAAUAUAGUUAAAUAAGAGUUAAAAUAUAGAAUGACAAAUUUUUUCCCAAAAGUUAGAAUGAUAUAUUUGGCGGGAAAUAACUAAUUAAUGCUAAGGUAAAAAAUUUCGGAAACUAAUAUACAAAAUACACAGUAAAAUUUUCGCCCCCAACUUCGUAAUUCUUCAGCUUAUAUAUUUUUUCAGCAUUUGUAUUUAGUACUUACGGUUAACCGUACUGUGUUGAAAAUUUUCUACCCAAGCAAAUUUGUUGCACCAUCUUUAUUCCUCAAUCUAUAGAAAAUAUACGGCAUUACAUAUUUAAAAUAUAAUUAAUAAUUAUAUGCAUACUAAAGUAUCACAUCAAGUUACCAUCUAAUUUGGGCAUCAAUAGAAUCAUCGACCUUUACUAAUUUGGGCAUCGAUAGAAUCAUCGACCUUUACUAUGUGGUUGCUUUAGCAUCUAAAUUCGGCACGGUAUACCACGCACAAUCACAAUUAGGAAUUAGGCUAUGAGGUGUUGUAAAAUAUCAACUACUUAGGGGGUGUUUGGCCUAGCUUUUAAAAAGCACUUUUGAGCUGAAAAGUGAUUUUCGGCUCAAUAAAGCGUUUGGCAACUCGAUUUUAAAAUCUGAUUCUGCUUUUUAGAAUCAGAAAACUGAUUUUGAAGGCUCCAGAAUCAGAAGCAGAAAAAAGCUGCUUCUUGAAAUCUGAUUCUGAUUUUGAAUUUAAACUUCAAAUUUUUAUUUUUAUUUUUAAUUUCAAUAUUUAAAUCUAAGUUUAAUUUUAAUUUUUAAUUUUCAAAUUCAUUUUUGAAUUUUUAAAUUUUAACUUUUAAAUUUUAAAUUUUAAAUUUUAAAUUUUGAAAAAUAGAUUUCAAACUUUAAAUUUUAAAUUUUAAUUUUAAAUUUCAAAUCUCAAAUUUAGAAUUUAAAAUUUAAAAUUUUAAAUUUAAAAUUUAAAAUAGAUAAAUUUAAUCUUUGACAUUUUAAGAUUUAAAAUUUUAAAUUAAAAUUUAAAAUUUUAAAAUUAAAAUUAUUUUUAAUACUAUCAAUUAUAAAUUUCAAAUUUUUAAAAUUAAAUUUAAAUAUCUCAAAUUUAAAUUUAUAAUAUUAUUUAAAAUUUAAAAUUAAAAUUAAAAUUUGAAAUUUAUAAUUUAAAAUAUUUUUAAAUAAUAAAUUAUUUAUAUUUAAAUACAUAAUUAUUUAUAUUUUACAUUUAAAUUUUAAAUUUUAAUUUAAAUUUCAAAUUUAAAUUUAGAUUUUUAAAUUUUAAUUUUUAAAUUCUAAAUUUAAAGUUUGAAAUUUUAAUUUAAAUUUAUAUUUUUAUAAAUUAAAUUUUAUAUUUUAAAAUUCAUAAUUAUAUAUAUUGUUAAAUUUAAAUUUAUAUUUUAAAUUUUAAAUUCAUAAUUAAUUUUAAAUUUUAAAUUUUUAAAAUUUUAACAUAUUUUUUAAUAUAAAUACCAAAUUUUAAGUUUUGUAAAUUUUGAACAUUAAAUAUUUUAAUUUUAAUUCAAAUUUAAAUUAAGAUUUUAAAUUAUUUUAAAAUAAAAAUUAAUAAAAAUAUUAAUUUAUGCAAACAUCAAAAAAAAUUUGCCAAACAGCUUUUCAAAAUUAUUUCAGAAAAAUCACUUUUAUCUAAACUCCGCCAAACACUCUACAGCUUCUAACCAAAAUCACUUCUCCAAAUCAAAAUCACUUUUUCAGAAAUCACUUUUUCAUAAGCUAGGCCAAACAGGCCCUUAGUAGGCUUUGCUACGUGGAGAGAAUAAGAGGGCAUUUAUGAAUGGUGUUAAUAUACCAAUUGCGGCUUCCUAUACUUAAAUGAACUGUACAGGAGCAAAAAUGGCAUUUAAAAUUUAUUCGGUUAGAUUUUGACGGCCGGUUAGCAGUAGGGGCAUUCAUGAGUAUUUUUUGAAUUUAGAAAGGUAUUCAUGAUAUUUUCAACUUUAGAGGGUUAUUGAUGAAAUUUUAGCCUCCCACAGGGGGUACCUAUGAAAUUUUCCCUUUUCUAAAAAUGCUACCCGUGGACAUCUCUAAAUGCUUGGCACGAAUCUAUACCACAUCACUUAAAUUCUUAGGCAGAGUUGCAGAGGGGAGUAUCAUAAAAUAAAGGAAAAACUUCAAAAGCCCCGCCUGUGGUUUCGCAUUUUUUCAUUUUAGUACCAUGUGGUUUAAAGUGUAUCAAGUUAGUACCCUGUUGUUUCUCACUUUAUCAUUUUAGUACACUAUGGUUUAAAAUGUAUCAAGUUAGUACUCUGUGAUUUUAUUUUUGUUUCAAAUUAGUACCCUGUGGUUUUAUUUUUGUAUCAAGUUAGUACCCGGUGAUUUUUAAGCCACAGGGUACUAAAGUGAUAAAGUGCGAAAUCAUAGGGUACUAAAUUAAUACACUUAAAGCCACAGAAUACUAAAGUGAAAAAGUGUAAAAUCACAGGAUACUAACUCGAUACACUUUAAACCAAAGGUACUAAAGUGAAAAAAAAUGAACUGGUUUCUAGAGAGAUUCAGAAUGGACUCAGAUAUUUGAAAUUUUUCCUAAAAUAAAUUAAGGAGGAAAAUACAAUAUGUUUGAGCGACCUUAUUAUAGCGACAUACAUAAUGCAUAUAAUUACAACUUUGCCCUUACGUAGCCCCCAAUUAACUGAUAAAUUAUUUAUUUAGUGGAUGAGGCGCCCUUUCAGCUUCGUACUCGCCCGUGAACGUACGCAUCACUUCAACGAUCUCCGACUCAGGCUUUAUAAGUAAUUAAUUAAUUAAUUAAUUAAUUAUUAGUGCUUUGCACAAAAUCUAUUCGUAUUCAAUCACCCAGUUAUCUACACAUAUAAUUGUGUGAUGAUGAUCACAAUAAUAUAAAACCAGAGGGAAUUAACAUGUACAAGGUUAGUCCCUCUCUCUCAUGGCCCUUUUUUUUUCUUUUUCUAAUUAUUAUUACUAUUAUUAUUAUAUUAAAUUUAAAAUUGCAGGUUCGUACUACUAACUGAUAGUCUGAUUAGUCGGUACUCUUCGAACAUGCACCAAAUAAAGGGAUUAUUAAUUUUAGUUUUAUUAAUUAAUUGUUCUCUAAUGGCUGGCUAAGUAAGAACUACUUGAAAAGGAAAGCCAUGUGCGGUCAUAUAUAUAGGUGUACAUGCAUGUUAAUUUUUUUUUCCAUUUAUUAAAGAGACUUUUACUGUUAUUUACCUUGUUUAAUUUGGUUUUAAUGAUGGAUGGAUCCACCCUUCUAUAUAUGAACACUUACUUCAAUAAAUUUUUCCCGGUAUAGUAAUUAAUUUACUAUCAUUUUGUUUACAGCAUAAGUUUCCAUGUAAGAAACCACAGCAUGCAUGAACACAUGCAUUAUUUUGCAUGGAACAAAGAUAUAUAUGUAGUCAUAAUUUACUCAAAGAUUUGGAUGCAAUUAUUAGGUGUAAUAAAUUGCUUUUUACUGCAUAUGAUCAAUGUUUCUUGCAGGUUUAAGCCAAUUAAAUUCCCUUAUCAUGAGGAUGAUGAUGAUGAUGAUGAUGGUGCAGUACUACCUCUUCAUUUUUUCGAUCUUAAUCUCUUCAUGUACUACAUGUUAUGGUCUUUGGCCUUUUUCUUCUUCUUCUUCUUCUUCUUCUUCUUCUUCUUCAACUACUUUAAACGGCGACGCGCGAAAGGCGGUGUCAUUCGAUGGCACGGUGGCCGAGUUCUCGAUGGAGAACCUCAACAGCCGGAGAGGAGUAGAGCUGCUGGAGAACGCGCGGAGCAAGCUGGCCGGCCCGAAGAACUGCUGGCAGGACGCGUACCGGAGCGUGUUCUGGAGCUGCGCGGAGAUCGUGGCCGACAAGGAGAAGCAGUCGCGGUUGGCGUGGGAACUGAGCAGCUGCUUUCAGGAGGACUCGGGCCGGCCCGCGUUCCCCGCGUGCGAGGCGCGCGCUCCGAUGGUGAGCUGCCGCAAGAAGCUGAGUGAUUCUGAUCAGAAGAUCUUCCUCGAGUUCUUCCUGGAGACCAACACACUUUGCCACCAAUUACAGUUAAGUGUAGCAUUUUAGUUUACACUGCUGCUAUGUUAAUUCAAGUCUUAGGCAUUUUUGUUGCAGCUACAUAUCUUUUGAAGUUGCUAAACCUGUCACUUUUUCGCCGGUUUUUACGGCGAAAAUGCUUUUUAUGCACUUCUUUUUGUUUGAAUAUGAACUUGAUUGCGUGCUUUAAAAACCGUGCUGUCGAUCGUUCGAAACUGCGCAUCAUCUUGCGAAAGGAAAGGGGAAGUUGGCCUCAGAAGCCGAAAAGCGGUUUGAAGUCCCUUGUUGCGAAAAAAUGAACGAGUGAUUUUCGUUUUUAGCGCGAAAGGCCUAAAACUUUUGCUUCUUCUAUCUGCAUGAUUUGUUCAGGGCAGAAGCAUUCAGGCGCGGCACGGAGAAGUUGGUGAAUGAUUUGUCGAGAUCAGCUCAGUUCGCCGAGGAGAAGCUCGAGACGAUUGAGGAGCGAUCGGAGCAAAUACUACGGAACUCGAAUACGGUCCACGACUCGUUAGCCUCGAUCGGACUCCAGACUCAGCAAUUGGCCCGAGCAUCGAAGGAAGUCGAGGCCCAGAUCACCGACGUUUUCGAGCACUCGAAGGCGAUCUUCGAGCAAUCCAGGGAAAUAUCGGCCGCUCAAUCGGAACUAAAAGAAGGGCAGACAGAUCUGAGGGAGCGGCUCGAGGCCGGCGUGGCGCGGUUGCAGGAGUCCUACGAGACUCUAGGAAGUGAGAUGGAUAAGUUGAGGGAGGAAACUAUGGAUAUAGAGAGGGAAGUUAAAGUUGUAGGGGAUUCUAUGGCUUCAAAGAUGAGAGAUCUUCAGAUCACAGCUGAUGAUAUUGGAAGUGUAGCUGGAGUUUCCCUGGAGAAGCAGAAGCAGCUUUUGGAUGGACAGGCUGUUGCACUUGAGGGUCUUGAUUUCCUCCGGAAGUUUCAAUCACAAGCGCUCGAAGAAAGCAGGUAAAUUCUGCACAUUGGAUAUGAAUUAGAAUUUUGAUCUGCGUAUAACGUCAGCAGUUUCAUUUUGACUGGAUACGAGCCCUUGCAAAUGUAGGCAUGUAUCAAAUUCGGAUUUCGUGGUCUAAGGUACUUCAUAGAUCUCUUAUGUUUUUCGUGAAAAUAUUUGGCUAGGGACACUAUUCAGAAACUGGCAGAGCUUGGUCAGAAACAGCAGGAUGAGCUGCUACUUAGACAGGAGCAAAUCCAGCAGGCCCAUGACCGCCUGAUCGAAAAUUCGCAGUCAAUUUUGGCCGCUCAGGUGCGACGGCACAUUCCUUGUCACUACUUGAUUCACUUCACUGGGCUUCUAGUUUAUGAACAGAAUAAAUGUUCUUGUUUGCUUUUGGAUUGUGCAGGAAGAGUUUGAAUUGAAACAAGCACGCAUUUUUUCUGCACUAGAGAAGCUCUUCGCUCUUCAUAACGCGAUUUUGGUCGAGUCCCGCUUCAUCAAGUCAUUCAUCUUCUACUCUUGCUUGAUAUUUCUUCUUUACAUGCUCACUAGCGCGAAACAAACAUUUGGUAUCAGAGGCCGACUCUACUUCGGUAUGCUUCUUAACACUCAUAAUUGCUCCGUAACUUCCGAAGAAAACAAAGAAUUUUAGCAGUUAAUGCGAUGGAAUUCUUAGGUCUAUGUAUCACGCUCAUUGUCGAGCUCGGGAUACUUAAAAUCGGAGAUGACGACUUCAAUAAACAAGCUUGGAUCAUGUCGAAAGUGUUCUUGGCGAGAUGGGCAUUUCUCGCAGCCGCUGCAGUACAAAUCUUGCACUCUAUCUUUACUUACAGGUAUACUUUUAGCAACCAUCUUAAAAAUCUCAACUUUUGUUACUAGAAUAACUAGUAGGAAUGGUAAGAUGAUCACUGAGAAUAUUUUCCCCACAUUUUCGUAGAGAUUAUGAGGUUUUAAACCAUCGGUUGCUGCAAACACUGAUUGAGAGGGUUCGCGCGAUUGAGGAUAACUCAGGUUUGGAAUUUUAUCUAUAAUUUUUCUGCGUUUAUUCUGCGCUAACUAACAUUGGACUAAUUUGAUUGUGAAAAAUGUGUUCACAUGAAACAGGUAAAAAGUACUUGACUUAUAGCUCAGAUAGUGAUAGAAGUAUCGGCGAUUAUUCGUGGAUCGUCGAGGAGUUGCCCGAAGAUGUAGAUAGCAAAGCGGAUCCAGACUAUAACUUGAUGGAAGAAGUUGCAGAGAAUUCAUUUUCUGCAGCAUCUGCGACCCGAAGAUAUGAUCUUCGUCCGCGGCGUAGGCAAUAAAAUGUUUUUUUUUUUUUUCUGUUCUCUUUUAACACAAAAUUAAAGUUCUCCCUUGCAGAGAAGAUGAUACUACAGCAUUAAAGAAGAUCUGGUUGACAAUUUGUUAAAUUGAUGGUAACAAAUUAAUUGACCAAUCCAUUAUUUUUGAAUUGGUGCCAUGUUUUAGUUAUUGUAUUUAAGGAACCUAAAAUUUGUAAGGCUUCUUGCAACAUGCCUUGUGGGAUAUAUUGAAGUUUAACUAGACUGAGGUUGGAAGUUUCUCAUCCCCUUUUAGUGGACUAUGUUAUGCAUUAGAGUUGUAUAGAUGUUAUAAUGAUUUAGAAAGUUUAAUGCUAUGCUUACUAAUAAAUUUUAAGUAAUUUUACUAACAUCUGAAGGAAUCUAGGGAUAGAGUUAACAUCUUAAGAUCAGACGCGUCCCUCAAUAUUUGUUCAAUCAAAAAUUUUUAUAUCAUAGUGGUAGGAAUUCCUUCCGGCCAAGUAGUUCUUUCCUAAAUUGUAGUUCAGAUAAUGGGUGUGUGUGUGCACGCGCGCGCGCGCGUGCGCCUGUGUUUUUUUCUGCAUCGAGAUCUAUGUAGUCUAUUUCAUCUUUCUAAUAAAUUAAGCGAAUAGUACUUUUUUCUAAAAAAUAAGAUUUCAUGUCAUAUGUACAAGCAUAUUAACAAAUCACAAUAAUUAUAUUUUCAAAUAAGAAAUGCUACUUGUACAUCAACUUUUGAGGCGUGUACUUUUUAAACUCAAGUUGUUUAUCUCAAAAAAAAAAAAAAAAGAAAUGAAGAAUCCUCACGAAUCUGAUAUCCUAGCUAAAAGGGGAUGGCCGAGACCUCAAACUUAAGUACUUGCUAGUGUGCUCGUUUAAAUACAUGCUGAAGAUUCUAUAAGAAGGGAUAAGGACAUCAGCAGCUACUUGCUUGAAAUUGGUGUGGUUUGGAAGAGAUGAAAUUAUUUUCUCAGAAAAUAAAUAAAAAAGUUUUUUAUAUUGGAACUAGAAAUAAACUCACAAUAAUCAUGUAUAUAAAAUAAUAAAAUAUUAUAAAUACAAAAUUAUAUACAACGAAAUAAUUUACAAUACUUACUGCAUCUAUGAUCUAUCCAAAUAAUAUAUUAAUUUAUUAUAAUUUUAACUAUACUGUAUUUUUAAUUACAUGAAUUAAAUGGUACUGCUGCUGAGAGGGGAGGAGAGAAGCGUCGGAACGUCUGAGCGAGAUUAUGCUAUUCCCUCGCCGCUAUUCCACCUAUUAUUUCCCAACAACUUAUUCCACAAAUUAUUCCCGUACUUAUCCGGCUCACCCACAACCCCUCUCCCUCCUCCUCCUCCACCUCCACGGCCCCCUCCCCUCCCCGCGCCACGUCCCCGCGAUCCUCGCCCGCGCCCUGCGCCUCGGCGCCCACGACGACGCCCUCCUCCCCGGCACCUCCCUUCUCCCCUUCAACGCCGCCAUUAGAGUCCUCUCCGAGUCCCCCAACCUCUCCCACCGCGCCCUCGCCCUCUUCAAGUCCCUCAAGCUCCGCUCCCUCUCCCCCAACGAUUUCACCUUCUCCUUCCUCUUGAAAGCCGCUUCCGCCUCCAAAGACGCUUCCUUUGUGCGCCAGGUGCACGCCCACGUCGCCAAAUCGGGGGUCGGGUCCAAUGGUUUCGUCGCGAACGGGCUCCUCUCGGCGUACGUUAAGGGCGCCGGGGAUCUCCUUUCGGCACGUAAGGUGUUCGACGAAAUGCCCGAGAGGAAGUCGGUUUGUUGUUGGACUUGUUUGGUUUCUGGGUACGCUCAAUUUGGAUUGGUGGAGGAUGCCCUGAGGUUGUUUGCGAGAAUGGUCGAGGAAAAUCUGCGGCCGGAGGAUGACACCAUGGUCGGGGUCAUUUCCGCGUGCUCAAAGCUCGACACCGGGGAAAUCGAGCAGUGGGUCAACAUGUUUACCGAAUUUGGUGAUCAAAUUUGUGAUUUUUCGGGCGAUGCGGUUGAUACAGUUCUCAUUUAUCUCCACGCAAAAUUGGACCGGAUAGAAGAAAGCAGAGAUCUGUUUGAUAAAAUGGUAGGCAGAAGAAGCGGAAAUCUGAGUGUUAUCGCUUGGAAUGCCAUGAUCGGCGGAUACGUGCAAAAUAGUCGGCCUGUCGAUGCUCUGGGUCUUUUCCAUCACAUGCUCGAUAUUUCGAUUACAAAACCUAACCACGUGACUAUCGUGAGCGUGCUCUCGGCUUGUGCUUUAGUUGGUGAUUUGAAUCUUGGGAGAUGGGCUCAUGCAUAUGCGAAAUCAAGAUAUAGCAAAUUGCUCGCGGAAUCUAACAAGAUUCUUGCUACUGCUUUCAUAGACAUGUAUUCCAAAUGCGGGAGCUUAGAGGAGGCGGAGGAUGUGUUCGAUCAAAUGGCCACGAAAGAUGUGGUCUCUUUUAAUGCCAUGAUUAUGGGACUUGCCACGAACGGUCGAGGAAACGAGGCUUUGAAGUUGUUCUUCGAGAUGGACAAGCACGGCGUAAAGCCAAAUGACGGUACAUUUCUAGGCUUGUUGUGUGCUUGCACCCACUCAAGAUUAGUCGAAGAAGGAAGAAAGUUUUUUAAGGAAAUGCACGAGAAAUACAAUGUCGUCCCCAGAUUAGAACACUACGCUUGCUUCGUCGAUCUCAUUGCACGCACUGGUUUUAUCAAAGAAGCGCUUCAGGUCGUAAACACGAUGCCGAUUGAACCUAAUGGGCUUGUUUGGGGAGCUCUCCUUGGGGCUUCUCUGGUCCACUCGAAAGUAGAUAUUGCUCGAGAUGUCGCGGAAAGGCUAUUUGACGUGGAUCCUGAAAGCUCAGCAGGUUAUGUAUUGCUGUCGAAUGCUUAUGCGACAAAUUCUAGCUGGGGAAACAUUACAGAGUUGAGAUGUUUAAUGAGGGCGAGAGGCGUAAGCAAGCAAACAGGGUUCAGUUGGAUCAACAUCGAAGGAAUUGCGCAUGAAUUCCAUGUUGGAUCUGUGUACCAUCCAGAAAUGGGAAGUAUGUACAGUUUACUGAAUUCUUUGACGCAGGAGAUGAGAUUAGUAAGUUGCUAGUCAGAUUCUCAAUUGAUGAUCAGGGUAUGUAGAUUAUACUAAUGUUCAUUGAUCAACUGUAUCAUAGCUAAUUCUUGGCCCUCUUGAGUUUCAGCCUCAAUGGCUUGGUCCUCAAACUUUAAUUUAUUACAAUUUUUGUCUCAAGCAUUUUGAAUUAUUUCAAUUAAGUUCUACAAUCUAAUUUAAUUGGCUAAAUAUUGAUGCUCGUCAGUGUCGAAGUGAUGUAAUAGUAUUGUAAUUGAUUAUAUGACAAUAAUUAAGAUAUUACGUCGUUUCUACUUCAACCAUUCAUCUAUAUUUAACCAAUUAAAUUGGCCUAAUUUGUUAAGUUCGAAUUAGAAAUUGCAAGAGAUUAAAGUUUAACGACCAACCUUAUAGUUGAGGACCAAAAGUGUAAUUUACCUUUCUUUUUAUUAAGUCAUGUUGAUGCAUUUGUGGCAAGCACUUACAUUAUUUUUGAUUUUAGUGGCUUGUGACUAAGCCAUUUUGGAGUACUUUUAUUGCUUUUUUUUUUUGUUUUCCUCUACUUUGUAAUUUGCUUAUGGCCUACCUAGUUUAUCAUUGUCACAUCUAUUUAAUUAAAUUUGGAUUCUGCAGGAGAUCAAACUCUUAACCUCUUGAUUAUCUUACUCUUAACCAUUCAUGCGGGAGAUCGCACUGUCGCACAAGAACACCCGACCUCUUGAUCGAUGAUCUAAAGCAAUGUUUUAAAAAUCGGGUUGAACAGCGAUUCGAGAAUAUUACUGAGUUACGGGUCACUGGUAAGAGCAAUUAUUAUUUUAGGAUCAGAACUUAAGUAUACAUAAGCUUCAAAUUUUAUUUUUAAUAAAAUUAAUCUAUGCUAAUAGAAAAUAAAAUUAACUAAAUUAAUUUUAAGGGGUUGAAUUUUAAUAUGAUAUGAUCAAAAAAUUCGAUGGAUUUAAUUAAAAAUUAGAUCGAUUCACAAAUCGUAUUAUAAAUUGGGUUACGAUCUAAGUUAGGAUCGGAUCGAUUGAACCAGCAUACUAGAUCUCAAUUUUAAAUUAUUGGUUUCUUUCGCUAGUCUCUUCUCCAUUGUGUCCAUGAUUAGUUCUAGAAGACAAGAUAUGACAAGUGACAAGUCAACUAUCUUGCUNAAAUUUAAAAAAAAAAAAAAAAAAAAAAAAAAAAAAAAAAAAAAAAAAAAAAAAAAUCUAAAAUGUCACACUUAUAUUACUGAGGUAGUACCGUAAUAAAUCAAAAAAAAAAAAUCUAGAGUUCAUCCAUUCCAUUAUUGUUCUUAACAAAACAUUUUUAUUUAAAUUUUUAUCUCAAAAAAAAAUAUAAUUAGUUAGGAAUAAAUAAUGUAAUGAAAACAUUUUUAUUGACUGGGAUUUGCACAUAUGCUUUAAAUCGAAAUUAAUCAGUGAUUAGAUUGGCUGGCCACAAAGUCAACUCCCUGAGUUAAUUCUCCAACGCUUAAAUAGCUUAAUAUCAUUACGAAGGAACAAAUUGGUCAACGUUAUAAAUGUAGCAUUGCUUUGUACGUUUUAUCCAUGUCCAAAUAUAUAAAGUUGCGUCACGUAAACCAUUAUAAAUUGAGCCACAAGGUCACAUAAACCAUAUUGUCAAGUGUAUCCGUGCUUUAAUAAUCGCGGAUAACAAAAUCAAUUUUAGUUGCAGCAUUUUGUGAAUAAAAAAUAAAAAAUUAAUCAUUGUAAGUAACCAAAUAAUUAGUUGAACGUAAUGGAGAAGGACCUCAAAAGUCAGAAGAUAAUGUAUAAUUGAUUUGAAAAUUUUUAGGUAAGAAUUAAUUAAAAUAUACAGAUAUCUUCUAAAUUUUAGCUCUUUCGUAAAUGGGCGUCUGAACUUUCAAUUUUAGCUAUUACAUCUCCUAAAAUUUAUCGGAUAGUUCAGUAGAUCUCUCUUCUCAAAUUAAGUUACUAAUUACACAAUCGAUCGUGUUGGUCAAAUAAUUUUAUAAAGAAAUUUAUUUUUUGUAUUCUAAUAUGUAAAAAAACCAAUAAAAAUUAAAAUUUGGUGGAACCUUUUCGUUACACGUCAUGCUGAAUUAUCAAAAUUAGAAGAAAAAAAAAGGUUUCUUUAUAUUUUGAAGUCUUAUAAGAUUAUGUGCACGACUUCUAAUCCAAAUGUUAUAAGUAGUAAGUUCACUUGAUGAGAGAGGCCUUAAUUAACUAAAUAUUGAUAUAUCAUUAACGUCAGCAUUAUGAUUAAUAAUAUAUUAAUAAUUAAGAUGUCAUAUAUAUCACUUUUAUAUUAAUAAUGAGUCAAUAUUUAGUUAACUAAGUUAGGUGGUGAGAUUUAAUUGUGAUAAUUUUGGAAGUUCGAGACGAAAAUUAUAACAAAUUAAAAUUGACAACUAAAAUAUCACCUACAUAUUAAUUUGAGAACUAAAUGUACAAUUUAUCGUUUUUUUAUUUACUAAAAAUGACUUUCUAAUCCGACUACAUUAGAGAACUUCCCNAAUAUUUAGUUAACUAAGUUAGGUGGUGAGAUUUAAUUGUGAUAAUUUUGGAAGUUCGAGACGAAAAUUAUAACAAAUUAAAAUUGACAACUAAAAUAUCACCUACAUAUUAAUUUGAGGACUAAAUGUACAAUUUAUCGUUUUUUUAUUUACUAAAAAUGACUUUCUAAUCCGACUACAUUAGAGAACUUUCCGCUGAAGUUUUAUGUUUUAAAGAUCUGUAAGUUUUUGACAUUUUAAGAAUGGUCAAAAUUGUAUUUAAAAGAGAACUUCAAUUAAUUCUAGAUAUUAUUUUUACUGUGUUUUGUUGAAAUAGUGAGAAUUAAUUAACUGGGAUGGCUCUGAGAGAUAUUGUUGACACCUAAAAUGGAACGGAAAUGUUGGAAUCAUGAUUUUUUCUGAUAUCAAUUGUUGAAAUCAGUAUUUGUGCUGAUACCGAUUAUAUAACCUAAGAUCUAAAAUCGAACAAAAUAAUAUGAAGAAGAGAUAUAUAUUGAAGGAGGAAGAAGAAAACUAAACUAAUACUUUAUUAAUUAAAAUAAUUUAAUUACACCCAAGACGAUACCUAUUUAAUCAUGUUUACUGUAGCUUGUUUCUGUAAUUAAUUUACAUCUAACUAUAUAUAAUAUAUAGCUAUGGAGUCAUAGCAGAUGAUAAAUUCAACUUUUAAUUUAGACAAUUACAAAUCUUACUCUAAUUAUAUUAAACUUUUAAAUAUAAUCAAAUUAUAAUUUGCAUAAACUCUAUUUUUAACUAAAUUUUAAAUUAAGUUUAGAUUAUUAUUCUAAACUUAAUUUAAAAUUAGCGUGAUCAUUAAUUAUAGAAUUUUAGGCGGUAGAAAUAUUAGAUUAUCAUAAGUGACGAAGUAUUCUCAUUUCUCUAUUUGAUGCAAAUUAUUCGUAGUCCAAAUAAUUUAAUAAGUUAGUGAUGACACAUUUAUUAUUCAAAAUAUAAAAUAUAUAAUACUUUUGAAAUAUUACAAACUUUGAACCAAACGGCCUCCAAUUAUAAAAACAAAAAUAGGUUAAGAUUCUCCAACAACAUUUAGCAGGUACUUUGUUAAAGUGCAUGGUUCAAAAAUGGUAAUACUUUUAAUGCAGUUAAUAAUAAACCUAUACAAGUGAUAGGACUAUUCGUGCUAAAGCUCAAACUUUAAAUUAUUGGACAAUAUAUAAAAGUAGAACUAAGAAAUGAUAAGGAUAAGAGUCAAUGACUCAGCAUAUGCAUUGCAUGUAUCUAAAGCCAUAUCCAAAUGUUGUGGGCUUUGGUUAAAGUUCAAAUUUAAAGAGAAAGUGAUGAUGGUACAUCACUACAUUCUCCUUAAUUUGUCCCCUACAAAUCCAACUCAAAUUUUUUUCUUUUUUUUUUUCAAUUAUAGUAAUCAAAUAUUUCCUUCUUCUUUUUUUUUUUUCCUUGAAUUAAUGGGUAGAUCUCUAGCUAGUACAUCUUUGUGGAGGCCAAAUCUCUAAAAAUUAACAACUAAAACUUACAAAUGUAGAUAUGAUACAAUUAAGUUUACUUUUUUCUAAAUAUCUUUGUACAGAGGGUUUUAAUAAAUCCUACAAUGAUACUCGAAACACAGUUAAUUCACAUUUUCAGCUAAAUUUAUUUUUUUUAAAAAAAUAAAUAAAAUAGUAGUAUAUUACCAUUUUUUAAAAGAAAAAAAAAACAUACAAAGAUCGAAUAAGGCUCUCAAAAUUACUUAAAAUUAUAUAUUAUGUCGGGCUUCAAAUAAAUGAGCUGUAUCAUAUCCAUAAUAAACAUACCAAUUUGAAUAUUAUAACAUAUUGUGAAAAAAAUUAUUGUUAGAUUCAAAGCUACUCAUUUGGAUUGGGUUAAUGCAUAAAUCAUAUAAAAUAAAUUUCAUCAGUUUCAACAAACAUAAUAAAUUUUAGAGAGAAUUACCUAUGGAAUAAACCCGGCGACUCUUAUAAAUAUAUGUGUUGUUUAUAAAAUAGUUAACAUCACCCUCUAAAACCCUCUAACAGAGAAAAAUAAAUAUUGUCAAACUAUUAUUUGUUACUGUAGUUUAACAAGAGUUCAAAUCAUAAUUAGAUACAAUAAAUGUGAUCGUGUAAUAUCAAUUUUAUUUGCUACAAUAUUAAUUCUAAGAAAAAAAAAAGUAAUUAUUAUAACGAUUAAUUUUCAGAUAAAGGACAGAAUCCUUAAUUUCCAGAUAUAAUAAUAAUAAUAAUAAUAAUAAUAAUAAUAAUAACUAAAAAAGCAAAAUCUAUAUAUAAAAUCUUAUUACACACAUGUACGAGAUUCUCCGUCCAAGGGCAAUUUCGUCAUUUCACAAUAUCCCUAUCCUGGAAAGAGAACCAGAUUCUUCCUCUCCCGCACUAAAAUCCAAACCGCUUAAAAAUAAUUAAAAAUAAAUUAAAAAAAAAUAAAAUAAAAAAGACAUCCUCCAUCUUUUUCUCUCUCUCUCUCUCUCUCUCUCUCUCCCCUUUACCUUCUCCGACGACCUAGGGUUUCCUCUCCGAUUAUAUCAGGGCUCCAACAAUUCCCCAUUCCCGAUCCCACCAAGCUCCCUCCUUGCCCCCGAAUCCUAGCUCCUCUACCCUAACCCUACCUGGAUCCAGCUCCUCGAGCGCGAAUUUAGGAUCCCCGAUUCUAGGGUUGCUAGCCCCUGAUUUGAGGGGCUAUAAGGGAAGGGGAAGAGAUCUAGGGUUCCGGCGACCAUGUCCGUCCCGGCGAUCGCCCUCUACGCGAGCCCCCCCGGGGCCGUGUGCUCCGCCGCGCCCCACCACUCCUCCCAGAUCGCCGCCUCCCAUGGCGCCUCCGACCUCGACCUCCUCUCCCGCCCCGCGUCCUCCGCCGCCGCAUCGUCGCCGUCGUCCUCAGCCGCCGCCCAGAAGCCCGGCGCCGGCGGCCUCUCGUGCCUCUUCUCCUCCACUUCCGCCGCCGCCCCCGCAGCGCGCCAUGGCCCCCCCUCGAGCUUCGGCGCCGGCUGCGGCGACGAGAGAUCGGAUGAACUCGGGUGCUCCUACCCGUACUCCUCGCACGCGCCCUCGUCGUCGUUCAAGUGCCGCGACCAUAGCCCCGUGUCGGUGUUCCAGGGCCCGGUGUCGUGCGGCGGGAGCGGAGCUUCGAGAAGCCCGGCGGUGUCGAGGCCGCCGCGGGAUUGGUUGGGAAGCGAUUGGAGGGUCGGAAGAGAUCGGCUCUUUAGCGGGUUUGUGAUGAACGCAUUGGGUUCUUGCUUAGAUUAUGUACCACCUAGUUUUCCGAUUCAGGGGGAUAUCGCAACCGAUGUCGGAGAUCUCUCAUUUGAGUUGGAUGAGAGCUUGGUUGAGAUAGAACCGAUAUGUGAGCCGUAUGCAAAGGAAUUGCUCAUCGGGGCUCAAUCGCGGCACAAGAUUUUCUACGAGGAGCUCGUUGUGAAGGCCUUUUAUGAAGCCGAGAAGGCUCAUAGAGGGCAGGUGAUUGAUAUUUUUGUCUCAUUGAAUGUGUUACUGAUUACUGAAGUUGCGAUUUUUUGGGUUGUGAAUUGAACUUUUGUUUCUCUCUAUUUGUGUAUUAGACGAGGGCGAGCGGAGAUCCCUACUUGCAGCAUUGUGUGGAGACGGCAGUUCUAUUAGCGAAGGUCGGUGCUAACGCCACCGUAGUUUCUGCCGGGCUUUUACACGACACAAUCGAUGAUUCUUUCAUGGAUUAUGAUUACAUUUUCAAAAUGUUUGGAGCUGGUGUGGCUGAUCUUGUUGAGGGGGUAUGCUAAUAUUGUACUUAUUUCUUUUUCUUCUCUGUUCUUUUCUUUAAUUUACCUAUUAAUGACACAUUAUGAGGAAGCGUGACAUAUUUUAGUGUAGCUUGGCAUGUCCUUUUUUGUAUCUUUGACUUUCUUGUAGCAAGUUAUAGUGCCAGGUGGUUAGAUACUCAAUAUUAUGCGUCUCCAUCUUAUUAUUCUCUUUACUUUUGGUACAUUCGUGAAAAUUCCUCCAUCCUCACCUUUGUAUGCCUGCUUCUUGGUAUAGUGAUUAUGAUCAGAUAAAUAUAUAAGCUUUUCAAUCAUAGAUAUCUCUGGUUGCUAGCUCAUUCUUUGCCUCUAUUUUAUUUAGGUAAAAACAUACAGAACUUACUUGAAGUAUGGACCAUUUUGAUUUAGCUACCCAACCUUUCAAAAAUUUGAUUUUACUAUCCAAUCUUCCAAUUUGUUUGAUUUGAGUCAGUCGACAGUUUUUGAAACAAAUUGAAAGGUUGAGUAGUAAAAUCAAAAUUUUGAAAGGUUGUGUAGCCGAUUCAAAAUGGUCCAUUAAGUUUUGUACGUUUUUACCUUUUAAUUACAUUGGAUUGCAUGGUGAAUCUAAAAUAGUAUGAAAUAUAAUAAAUUGAAGAUAGACUUGUGAUCAACUAAGCGGAGUAUUGUUUCAUCCAUGCUUGUGCUAGCGCAAAUGCCUCUUCAUUGAGAAUUUAUACACUGUAUUAGGUGUAGUGCUAGCUGAUACAAACAAAAAAAAAGAAAAAAAGAAAUUCGAGGGCCAAUGUUGAAAUAGUUUGUUGGGUGUACAUUGGUGAGAUUUGUCAUGAGAACUGUGCUGAUCAUUUGGUAAUGUCUAGACAUGUGGCAGCUGUGUGAUUCAUUGAUUUUAAGUGUUUUUUUGUUGUUAGCAUCAAGUCAACUUCUAACUUCUGAUGUCAAAUAUAUAAUUGGAGGAUUGUUUUCAAAAUUAUAUUAACAUAGAAUUGUAUCAAUUUUAUGUUUUCUUUUUGGGUAAUACUAUAUGUAUUUCUAGGGUUCAAAAGUUCAAAAUUUUGAUUGUUGCUUUGCAUUUUAUCCAGGUCUCAAAGUUAAGCCAUUUAAGCAAGCUUGCUCGUGACAAUAAUACUGCAAGCAACACCCUCGAGGCUGACCGAUUACACACAAUGUUUCUUGCAAUGGCUGAUGCAAGAGCUGUUCUCAUCAAGCUAGCAGACCGACUGCAUAACAUGAUGACUUUAGAGGCAUUACCGAUGGUCAAACAGCAGAGAUUUGCAAAGGAGACUCUGGAAAUUUUUGUGCCUUUGGCCAGUAGAUUAGGAAUCUCUAGCUGGAAGGAGCAGCUGGAGAAUAUUUGCUUCAAACAUCUUUACCCGGAGGAGCACAAAGAUUUAUCAUCGAAACUCCUCAAGUCCUUUGACGAAGCACUUAUUACAUCUGCUGUAGAGAAACUAGAAAAGAGUCUCAAGCAUGAAGGCGUACCUUACCAUGUUAUAUCUGGGAGGCACAAGAGCUUGUACAGUAUCUACUUGAAGAUGCUAAAGUGCGUCUGGUUCUCUUUUUGUUUAGAAAUAUUUCUGCAUGUACUCUUUACAUUGCCUGCUCUAGUGUGAAAAGUUUCCUUCGGAACUUUUAUCUAGAUAUAUCCCUGCAAAAUCAUUUAUUUACAUAUAUAACCCUGCAAAAUGUGAUUUUUCAUAAAUACCCUUUGAAAGGGCAGUUUUUACGUAAAUAUCCUCAAGUUGAGCAGUAAUUCAAUUUGCCGAGUUAAGUUUGUUUUGCACUAGAAAAAGUUUUAAAUAGGGUCAGCCUUUUAAAGUGCGAGAAUUUUUUUCAAAAAAAAAUGAGUUUUUUCGAAGGACAUACUUGAAAUUUUCAUAUUUUGCAAAGGCAAAUAUGUUAUUAGAUAGUUUGCAUGGGUAUACAUGUAAAUGUAUUUGUUUUUCAGGAAUUUGCCCCUUUUUUUAUGACCGUAUAUGUGGCUAACUUGGUCUCUACAACCUUCAUCAGGAAGAAUCUAACCAUGGAUGAGAUCCACGACAUCCAUGGACUACGGCUGGUAGUUGAGAAUGAAGAAGACUGUUAUAAAGCACUUGAUAUUGUUCAUGGACUAUGGACUAAGGUUGUUGGGAGAUUUAAGGACUACAUCGAUCAUCCCAAGUCAAAUGGGUAUACACUGAAAUCAAAUUGAUAUAUAUAUAUAUAUAUGUGCUUUCUUGUUGGAGCUUCUUCUGAUUGUGAGCUUGCAGGUACCAAUCUCUACACACUGUUGUUCUGGGGGAAGAUAUGCUUCCGUUUGAAGUUCAGAUCCGAACCAGGGAGAUGCAUCUGCAGGCCGAAUAUGGAUUUGCUGCGCAUUGGAGGUAUAAAGAAGGUAGUUGCAAGCACUCCUUUGUGCUACAAAUGGUGGAGUGGGCGCGAUGGGUCGUUAGCUGGCAGUGUGAGACGAUGAGCAAAGAACGGGUCUCGUCUUUUGGUGACUCCAGUGUGAUCAGGCCACCGUGCCCAUUUCCUUCUCAUUCUGAGGGCUGCCCUUAUUCGUACACGCGUCGAUGCAACCAUGAUGGACCUGUUUUCAUCAUCAUGAUGGAAAAUGAGAAGGUUGGUUUGUUCUUUCAAUGCCCAUUCUCUUCGUUCAUACAUAAAUAAAUAUUGCUAUUUAUUGGUGGCUAUCUACGUGAGUUACGAUUUUCAGUUGAUAAUAUCCUUCAACAUGUUUGACGAAAUAAUUGCCUGACAUUAUUCUUCGUAUAUCCUAUUAUACCUUAUUAUACCUAUGACAAAGUCGACUUUACAUUUGGUUUUGGACUAUGGGAAUUACCCAAUUUGUUAUGUGGAAAAGUGUAACAAUUAAUUGGUGGAUAGAACAAUUCCAGGUUUUGGCGGAAAUUCUUGCUUCCCUGGGUUGUCCUAUAGAAGAAAACCCCUACUGAUCUGAACAAUUAUCCCUGAACUUCAACCUUUGUAUGAUAUAGGGGGAUAACUUAAGCUGCUUUCUUCCUUAAACCAAAAAAUAAAGUCCUUUAUAUCACACUUUUUUUUUGAAAGAAAUAUAGUUAACACAUCGAGUUAUUCCGUAAUCUGACAUGGCCCUUGUCACGACUUCAGAUGUCCGUUCAGGAGUUCCCCACAAACUCGACCGUGAUGGAUCUCUUGGAAAGGGUCGGGAGUACAAGAUGGACUCCUCACAGCUUUCCUUUGAAAGAGGAGCUGAGGCCGAGGCUGAACCACGAGCCGGUGAGUGACCCCAAGCAGAAACUGUGUAUGGGGGACGUGAUCGAGCUCACGCCGGCCCUUCCCCACAAGUCGUUGACCGAGUAUAGGGAGGAAAUCCAGAGGAUGUAUGAGGGGGGGCUCACCGUUUCAAGCCGAGGUGGCUGGAAAAGCUGACAAAUUCGUGCCUACGUCGAUGAUUCGACCUCUGUUGUACUUUACCCAUUGAUUUGUUGUAGCCGAGGUGGCCGGAAAAGCUGACAAAUUCGUGCCUACGUCGAUGAUUCGACCUCUGUUGUACUUUACCCAUUGAUUUGUUGUAUAUAUAAAUAUAUAUAUAUAUGUAUGUAUGUAUGAACUGUUUGUAUAGUAAAACCCUCGAAUUGUCGAAUCUUGAUGGUAAACCAAUCCAAGUAUUUGCUCUUUCUGGCUUUUACUUAUGUGACAUUGAUGUGCACUCAUGCAAAAUCUCAUUCGGUGGAUUUGCGUUCUUUAUGUGCAGUAAACAUUUGAGGAUGAAACUGUUUGAGCUGCAAGAGAGCUUGAUGUUUUACUACCAAUCCAAAGUUUUAUUUCAAUGCAGCAGCACUCAUGCGUGACAAUUACAGUCAGGGAUUGCUCUCUAUCAACCACUAUCUGGGCUAUGUUGAGAGCACUCUUCGGCCGAAAAUGGGUAAUGAAUCUGUAAUCAGGAAAUCGGCUUUACUUCUUUUGACUGGAUGAUGCAAAAGCUUACUAUCGAGAAUUGGGCGUGCGCUGAUCGCGCGAACUCAACUUUGCGCCCACCUAGCAUGAAGUCGAGAACUGGUGCCGUAUGGCAACCCGGAACUCCUCCCAUGCUCUGCAAAACUAUCUGACAUUUCUCGAACUGACGAAUUUAAUGCAGAAAGUCAUAUGCUUCCAAUGCAACCCCACUUUCUGGACAUGAUUUAUGCACGGCUAUUAUCAAGGAUUCGAUUCAGCAACAGGACUGAGUUUUCGAUUCAAAGACUUAAAACUUUUGCGUACUUGCUGGGAACAUUUGAAAUGUAGGUGUCUAGUACACAACUCAAUUUCAACCUAAGCAGGCUUGUUUUACCUUGCUUUAGUAGUUGAUUUUUUGUACAUUAAUUAUUCAUUAUAUGAAAUUUUAAUAUAUUUUAAUAUAUGAAUCGUCGCUUUGGCCGAGUGGUUAAGGCGUGUGCCUGCUAAGUACAUGGGGUUUCCCCGCGAGAGUUCGAAUCUCUCAGGCGACGAACUUUUUUUUUUGUGUGUUCUUAAAUUUUUUUCUAAUUUGUAUUUCAUAUAUACUGGAGAAUUCUUACAAGAUAGCUAUAAAAAUAAAACAAACUUUGUAGAAACCGAGUCCCUGCUACAGAACGAAAUAUUUUUUUCUAUCUGAUUAAAUUAAGUUUAAAUGUUCAAAUCUCUAAGGUGACAAUUUUUUAAAAUUUUGUUUCUAAAUUUUCCAGCUUCGACAACACAUCCAAAAGUACUUCAAGAAAAAUCCACGCUGAUAGAUCAAAACAUAAACAAACUCCGUAGAUCACAAGUCCCUGUCGCUGUAUCAACCAACUAAUUUUAUAUUUGCUGUGAAAUGUUUCUUUCAAACUCCCAUCAUACAUAAAGCUUUAUCAACCACACCAGUAUUAAUAAUUUGGACCUAAUACAUGCAUCUAGAAGGUGUCUAAUUUUGUUCUGAAAAAAAAAAAGAAGACCAAAGAAUGCUGCAUUUAUCUAAUUUUGUUCCAAAAGUAUCUCAAAUAAAAAAGCUUCAGAGAAACUUGAACAUGUAAUCCUCAUCAGCUACACAGGUGCCAUCAAAAUUUUCAUAUCUCCGCAAAAAAAAAAAAAAAAAAAAAAACCGACUUAAUACCAUAUGCCGAACCAAGAACAGUUGCAGGAAAUUACCCAGCGAAAUAAGCCUCUGAAACAUAGAUCAAAAUUACAAUACGGGUUGCGAUGGAUUGAAGACAAUAAUGCGGUGAACCUUAUUUCCAUGGCACAUAACUCUUCAGCGAGCGAGAAGCAUUUAAUGGGUUUUUCUCAUUCAUCUAAUCUUCACCAACAAAUCGUUCGCUCCCGAUCACGUUUCGACAGCUUCUGACUUAAACAAACCAGUGAAACUUUGCUACUUGUCCAUAUGACAAUUCCAGGCCCUGCAAAAGAACAGUUAAAAACUAUUAGCACCUAAAAUUUUGGUAUUUCUCUUCGACUCCAAGUACACUCCAACCUCACACUGGAUCUUUACUAACCGCAUGGCGAAAAAUUUGAUCGUCAUUUAGUUUUCUAUAGCUGAUAUUUAAUAACAGAGAGGAACAUAGUACUUCUAAUGGAAUCAUAAGUAUAGUGCGGAAUAAUAAAUCUAUGUAUCAGCGACAGGAUUUUCAUCAUGUAACCACAUAUAUAACUAUUCACGGGAGAGGUUAACUCACCAGUCUUUUCGUCAGUGGAAACAUCAAUGUUGUUUCGCCACAGAACUCCAAUAUAUGUCUAGCUUCGUAAAAUUUUUAAUGCUCAACUAUCUAAGUCAUAAAAGAGGAAGAAAACAUCAAUAAACUGUACUUAAAAAAGCAAUAAUACAACUUGAAUAUUAUAUUGUUUCAGCAAAAAUGUCAACAGGAAAGAAUUGUGUAAAAAUAAAUAAAUACUUUGAGAAAUUUAAUUCCAGCCAAACUAUCACGCCUGAGAGACUUAAACUAGUCCACUAACAUUGGAUUGUUAUGCAUAGUGGCCUUUUACAACUGCCACAAUGAUUAACAAAUUGAUCAAAUAAAGUCAUGGGAUGCACAAUCCUCUUAAAGCCAAUUUCGUAAGUAGGUAUGAACUACAUAUGUUUGACCCUACAAGGUGCACUCCAAAAAUAAUACUGCAAUGAGAGAUCGCAGCAGCAACAGAAAAACAAUUUAGUUGCCAAUUUUUGGAUCAUGUAUUGUUUCAAUGAACAAAAGACACUUAUCCUUCACUUGUAAAGGAGCCUUAACCUAAAGAAUGCUCAGCUGAAAAAUUGUUUUGACACAUAAUACAUAGUCCAUGAGGGUCAGCGCACUCCAUUGCUCUCCAAUCCUCUGGAGAUAAGGCUAAACCAUAAGUGAGAACAGAAGCAUGACUCAACUCUGUACACACAGAAAGAAUCAUACAACUCUAGUAUUUUGAUAGAACAACGGAUAUAGCACAAUCUAAGGCCUCAGAUGCUGAUUUCUCUUUUUACUCCUGGAACUAGUAACUUCAUAACAAAGACAGUGCAUCAAACUUCCAUUACAAGGUAAACCUGAUUAUCAUUUGCAUAUUUAUUUUCUCACAGUUCCAAUUGACCAGAAAAAUUAAUUCUAACGUCCAAUAAACAAUAUAUAUAACAGUAAUAACUACUGCACAAGCUGCAAACUAUGAUCUGAAAUAACUGUUGUAUUUUUCUAUUAAACUUCUUUCCAACAAACAAUCUGAGAAUAUCAAAUCCGCAUCAUAUGGUUAUUUUCCUGCUCUUGCAAUUUCUCCUGAACAUUGCAGUAAGCAUUUUUCAUGAAGUGAGCUUGGUUCAAGCAUGAAAAUGUUGAGAUAAGAGCUACUUUUCUUAUUACUCUAACAAAAAUCAUCUUGUUUUUGACUGGUUAAAACCUCCAGAAAUCAUUUGCAAAAACAGCAAAACAAUGUGGCGAAAAAAAAAAAAGCAAAAUAAGAUCUAUUUGACAUAAAGAUGGCACAAACGAUUUAAUAAGCCGUACACCUCUCCCUCAAAGCAUAGACAACUGUCUGGCCACAUAUGAUCUAACUCCAACAACUGAGUAUACACUUGGACCUUUCAUCACAUGCACAAUGUUCUAAGAAACCAAUGCUUAGAUAAAAGUUGCAGAAAGCUACCUUACAAGAAUUUUCAGAAAGUGUAACGACCCAGCCCACUAGCAACAAUAACUCGUUGGGCCCAAACACCGGCCCAAAAUGCUUAAGCCCAGUUAUUAUUACUAGUGUCUAAAUCUCUUAUAUACCUAAUCACAUCUCCAUUUAUAUCCGAUGUGGGAUUAUUAGGGUGUGACAGAAAGUAAUUUAUAUUGUCAUUCCUAGAGAGGUUGAUAAAUUGGACGCUACCCUCAAAUGCAAAAAGAAGGGGGAGGGAGGGGGGGCGGAGGGGGGGGAACGUAAAAUCCAUGAGAGAACUCACAUAUUCAAGUAUCAUCACAUAAAAUAAAAUGUAUCCAUUAUGCUCCAAACAUAUUCUUUAAGCCUUUGAAUCUGUCUUUUUGUUGGAAUGAUGUGAAUUUCUUACAAUGGAUAAUUGAUAUUUUUGCUGAAAGAAAAUAACAGAAAUAUGAUACUUAUUUGUUACAUAAAUGACUAUGAAAACCAAUAUCCGUCUUAAUUGAUCAUCAAAGUUGUAAAUAUUUUAUUGCUAAAUAUCAGGCUAAAACUAAAUAUGAAAAUAAAUCUGAACUGGAUCAGUUAUGGAACAACCAUCCUUUAUCUCAAUUAACAGCCAUGUAUAAAGUAUACAAAACUUAUUGAUGCAGGUCAAAAGCGUAUAAUUAUCAUUAUAUCAGCUAAAAAAACAGCCAAAAAGAAAGUGAGGGGCAGCUUUCGAUUAAAAAUAAAUGGUGCAUAAUAUUUGAACGGAUUACAAGAAAAAACCCGCAAUAAGAAAAUUCCAGCCAAGCAACACAAUAGUAGUUUCGUUUUGUGGAAGUUUUGCCAGAUUAAUUGUUGCAUGGACAUUUCAGGAACCCAUAUGACAUUUAACGGAAUAAGCCUUUCCCAGGCCUUAAAUUUGGACAAAUGAAGAACAACUAUCAAAAGAAUUAUUAUCUGGCAAAAAAACAUCCAUCAAUUGUUUACAAAACUAUCCAAUAUAGAUAGAGUACCAGAUAAAAAAAAA